RNAcentral lists this ribosomal RNA (492 nucleotides) under uncultured bacterium. RNAcentral's name for it is "partial 16S ribosomal RNA". It matches the Rfam family "Bacterial small subunit ribosomal RNA", at positions 29 to 507 of the family's 1533-position model. The record is from RNAcentral.
AGUGAACGCUGGCGGUAGGCCUAACACAUGCAAGUCGAACGGCAGCACAGUAAGAGCUUGCUCUUACGGGUGGCGAGUGGCGGACGGGUGAGGAAUACAUUGGAAUCUACUUUUUCGUGGGGGAUAACGUAGGGAGACUUACGCUAAUACCGCAUACGACCUACGGGUGAAAGCAGGGGAUCUUCGGACCUUGCGCGAUUGAAUGAGCCGAUGUCGGAUUAGCUAGUUGGCGGGGUAAAGGCCCACCAAGGCGACGAUCCGUAGCUGGUCUGAGAGGAUGAUCAGCCACACUGGAACUGAGACACGGUCCAGACUCCUACGGGAGGCAGCAGUGGGGAAUAUUGGACAAUGGGCGCAAGCCUGAUCCAGCCAUACCGCGUGGGUGAAGAAGGCCUUCGGGUUGUAAAGCCCUUUUGUUGGGAAAGAAAAGCAGCAGGUUAAUACCCCGCUGUUCUGACGGUACCCAAAGAAUAAGCACCGGCUAACUUCGUG